This 496-nucleotide ribosomal RNA is filed under the name uncultured bacterium. Its description in RNAcentral is "partial 16S ribosomal RNA". It matches the Rfam family "Bacterial small subunit ribosomal RNA", at positions 29 to 507 of the family's 1533-position model. The record is from RNAcentral.
AUGAACGCUGGCGGCGUGCCUAAUACAUGCAAGUCGCGCGAACAGACGAGGAGCUUGCUCCUCUGACGUUAGCGGCGGACGGGUGAGUAACACGUGGAUAAUCUACCUAUAAGACUGGGAUAACUUCGGGAAACCGGAGCUAAUACCGGAUAAUAUAUUGAACCGCAUGGUUCAAUAGUGAAAGACGGUUUUGCUGUCACUUAUAGAUGGAUCCGCGCCGCAUUAGCUAGUUGGUAAGGUAACGGCUUACCAAGGCAACGAUGCGUAGCCGACCUGAGAGGGUGAUCGGCCACACUGGAACUGAGACACGGUCCAGACUCCUACGGGAGGCAGCAGUAGGGAAUCUUCCGCAAUGGGCGAAAGCUUGACGGAGCAACGCCGCGUGAGUGAUGAAGGUCUUCGGAUCGUAAAACUCUGUUAUUAGGGAAGAACAAAUGUGUAAGUAACUAUGCACGUCUUGACGGUACCUAAUCAGAAAGCCACGGCUAACUACGUG